CCAAUAGCGUAUAUUAAAGUUGUUGCAGUUAAAAAGCUCGUAGUUGAAUUUCGGGAUCAAGGGAUCGGUCAUGCCUUGGUAUGUACUGGUUUCAUUGGUUCUCCUUUCUGAAGAACCAUGAUGUCAUUUAUUUGGUGUCGUGGGGAAUCAGGACUGUUACUUUGAAAAAAUUAGAGUGUUUAAAGCAGGCUCACGCUUGAAUACAUUAGCAUGGAAUAAUGAAAUAGGACGUUUGAUUCUAUUUUGUUGGUUUCUAGGAUCGACGUAAUGAUUAAUAGGGAUAGUUGGGGGCAUUAGUAUUCAAUUGUCAGAGGUGAAAUUCUUGGAUUUAUUGAAGACUAACUACUGCGAAAGCAUUUGCCAAGGAUGUUUUCAUUAAUCAAGAACGAAAGUUAGGGGAUCGAAGACGAUCAGAUACCGUCGUAGUCUUAACCAUAAACUAUGCCGACUAGGGAUCGGAUGAUGUUAAUUUUUUAAUGACUCAUUCGGCGCCUUACG
Molecule: ribosomal RNA, 498 nt
Filed under: uncultured Glomeromycotina
Lineage: Eukaryota; Fungi; Glomeromycota
Description: partial small subunit ribosomal RNA
Rfam family: Eukaryotic small subunit ribosomal RNA
Source: RNAcentral